This 433-nucleotide ribosomal RNA is filed under the name uncultured bacterium. RNAcentral's name for it is "bacterial SSU rRNA". It matches the Rfam family "Bacterial small subunit ribosomal RNA", at positions 29 to 507 of the family's 1533-position model. The record is from RNAcentral.
AACGAACGCUGGCGGCAUGCCUAACACAUGCAAGUCGAACGAAGGCUUCGGCCUUAGUGGCGCACGGGUGCGUAACGCGUGGGAAUCUGCCCCUCGGUUCGGAAUAACAGUUAGAAAUGACUGCUAAUACCGGAUGAUGACUUCGGUCCAAAGAUUUAUCGCCGAGGGAUGAGCCCGCGUAGGAUUAGGUAGUUGGUGGGGUAAAGGCCUACCAAGCCGACGAUCCUUAGCUGGUCUGAGAGGAUGAUCAGCCACACUGGGACUGAGACACGGCCCAGACUCCUACGGGAGGCAGCAGUGGGGAAUAUUGGACAAUGGGCGAAAGCCUGAUCCAGCAAUGCCGCGUGAGUGAUGAAGGCCUUAGGGUUGUAAAGCUCUUUUACCAGGGAUGAUAAUGACAGUACCUGGAGAAUAAGCUCCGGCUAACUCCGUG